Molecule: non-coding RNA, 109 nt
Organism: Cordylochernes scorpioides
Lineage: Eukaryota; Metazoa; Arthropoda; Arachnida; Pseudoscorpiones; Chernetidae
Source: the annotation of a GenBank genome assembly
GCUUGUUUACUUCAUUACUCUAAGCUCUAAGCAGGGUGUCGGUGGAAGGAUGUUCUUCGACCAUUGGUUUUCGACCGCUACGACCCGGGUUCGAUUCCCGCAUUAGGCA